GCAUUUUGUCACAUCAGCCCAGGACGAGAGCAGCCAACUAAAGAGCUUCUCGAUGUUGCAUUGUAAAAGAUAAGAAAAGAAUCCCAUUGAAUGGCUAGCAAGCAGAAGCAUGCAUGUCAGCUCCUUCUGGAAUGGAAUGGCAGCCCUGCCCCCCAACUUCACAGAGAUACAGAGACUGUGGUAAUUCAGAAGAAGAAGAAGAAGAAGAAGAAGAAGAAGAAAGAUGGGCAAGAGGGAUUCCAUUUGGGGGGAAUCGUUCUCAACCAACUUUACAAUGUAACUUAUGAAUAUUUGAUCUUUGAAUCUCUAUGGCAUAUAGGAAAAUUUCUUUUAAUUGUAUGGAGCACUGUUGUAUGUAUAUAGUUUAACACUGAAAAUUCUUAACCACUUGAAUAAAUUCUUAAGUUGCAUGUUUAGACUUUUAUCU
This 427-nucleotide long non-coding RNA is filed under the name Vulpes vulpes (red fox). RNAcentral describes it as "lncRNA (ENSVVUG00000027370.1)". Lineage: Eukaryota; Metazoa; Chordata; Mammalia; Carnivora; Canidae. The record is from RNAcentral.